Cavia porcellus (domestic guinea pig) is the source of this 72-nucleotide transfer RNA. It matches the Rfam family "tRNA". From Rfam's summary of the family: Transfer RNA (tRNA) molecules are approximately 80 nucleotides in length. NCBI's taxonomy places the organism in Eukaryota, Metazoa, Chordata, Mammalia, Rodentia, Caviidae. The record is from Rfam.
GGGGAUAUAGCUCAGUGGCACAGUACCUGCCUGGCAAGCACCAGGUCAUGAGUUCAAUUCUUGGUACCCCCC